CCUACGGGGGGCAGCAGUGGGGAAUAUUGGGCAAUGGAGGCAACUCUGACCCAGCAAUGCCGCGUGAGUGAUGAAGGUAAUUUUAUUGUAAAGCUCUUUUCUUUGGAACGAAUAAAUGACGGUACCAAAGGAAUAAGCCCCGGCUAACUACGUGCCAGCAGCCGCGGUAAUACGUAGGGGGCAAGCGUUAUCCGGAUUUACUGGGUGUAAAGGGAGCGUAGACGGUAUGGCAAGUCUGAAGUGAAAGCCCAGGGCUUAACCCUGGGACUGCUUUGGAAACUGUUAGACUAGAGUGCUGGAGAGGUAAGUGGAAUUCCUAGUGUAGCGGUGAAAUGCGUAGAUAUUAGGAGGAACACCAGUGGCGAAGGCGGCUUACUGGACAGUAACUGACGUUGAGGCUCGAAAGCGUGGGGAGCAAACAGGAUUAGAUACCCUUGUAGUC
RNAcentral lists this ribosomal RNA (442 nucleotides) under uncultured bacterium. Its description in RNAcentral is "partial 16S ribosomal RNA". It matches the Rfam family "Bacterial small subunit ribosomal RNA", at positions 338 to 795 of the family's 1533-position model. The record is from RNAcentral.